This 1256-nucleotide long non-coding RNA is filed under the name Carassius auratus (goldfish). RNAcentral's name for it is "lncRNA (ENSCARG00000031689.1)". The record is from RNAcentral. Lineage: Eukaryota; Metazoa; Chordata; Actinopteri; Cypriniformes; Cyprinidae.
GCUUGAGAAUGAGCUCAGGAGAGUUCUAACACUUCAUACAUUGCGUGAAUCAGAGGCAAAAAAAUUCUGUAAAUACUGUUCAGUUCACAGACCAAUUGUUUGGUGUCUUUUUGUUCUGUAUAUAAAAACAAUACAAUUCUAUGCAACGUCCCCAUUUGGAAAGCUAAGAAAACAUUUGUGUGUUGGUGUGUGGUGUAUGUUUAUAAACUGUGUAAAUGAUUUAUGUAUUUCAUUGUCUAUCAAUAGGCUGUUUUGCACAUUUGAUUAAUAAAAUUCGACUUGUGUAAUACCAAGUGCUGUAGUCUGUAGUCAGUCUACUGGUUUCUUUAUUAGUUCAGUGUAUCUUUAUUGCUUCAGGGUUUUUUUUUUCCACAGUUGUGGGUUAGUUGGCUUCAACUCUGGCCUGCUUCAUAUGUCAAGUUUAUGUAAAGUCACACAUCGUGGAAGACAUCAGCGCAUGGGCCUCUGAUAUCUUAGUCUUCACAACUGUUCAACUUCAUCACUAUUAAGUGUGUUUGCUGCUUUCCUGUUUUUUUAUUCUGUCAUUUCUGCUCAGAUUAGUCUGAACUCUUUUACUGCAUUUCACAGAAUGAAGACGGAGCAACUUGUAGUCUUCUGUAAGUUACUCAGUUUUUAUGAUUUUAUUGACUUUGUCACGAUUGGAUAGUUUAACAAGGUGAAUCUGUUUACAAUCUUCUACAGAAUAAUCUGAAUGAUCUGUGUGUCUUUGUGUAGGUCUGCUGGUGUGUCAAACUACAGAGAGUUUAACUGAUAAACCGGUGAAUUUAGGGGAAAAUAUGACUUUAGACUGUCAGAUUGGUGUAAGAGACAUUUAUUGGGUUUUCCAGAAACUGACAGACUCUCCGCGGCUGAUACUGCGAACUUACACAUCAGAUUCUACAUCAUCUCAAAUACAAGACCAAAGACUGAAAGACAAAUAUUCAUCACUAACUCAGAGCCGUUUAUUUAUUAUUAAUAUAACUAUUCAUGAAUUAGGAAUAUAUUAUUGUGUAAAACCUGAUCCAAAACAACUACAGAUCAGCAAUGGCACCAGACUUUACAUCAAUGAAUCUGCUCAAGAUCAAAAUCAAACAGAAUCUGCUCAAGAUCAAAAUGAACCAGAAGAGAAACAUCAGGAACAGUCAUGUGAGGAAACAUUGGAGAUGCACAUGAUUCUGACUGUUACAUCCAUCCUGAUGAAUUUUGUGCUGAUUAUUGCAAUAACUGGUGAGGUUUCUGAUAUACAUUCACUCUGA